CAGAGGUCUCAAGCGUUGUUCGGAUUCAUUGGGCGUAAAGGGUGCGUAGGUGGCGCGCUAAGUCAGGUGUGAAAUUUCGGAGCUCAACUCCGAAACUGCAUUUGAUACUGGCGUGCUUGAGGACUGGAGAGGAGACUGGAAUUCACGGUGUAGCAGUGAAAUGCGUAGAGAUCGUGAGGAAGACCAGUGGCGAAGGCGGGUCUCUGGACAGUUCCUGACACUGAGGCACGAAGGCCAGGGGGAGCAAACGGGAUUAGAUACCCCGGUAGUCCUGGCAGUAAACGGUGCACGUUUGGUGUGGGAGGAUUCGACCCCUUCUGCGCCGGAGCUAACGCGUUAAACGUGCCGCCUGGGGAGUACGGUCGCAAGAUUA
Molecule: ribosomal RNA, 373 nt
Filed under: uncultured organism
Description: bacterial SSU rRNA
Rfam family: Bacterial small subunit ribosomal RNA
Source: RNAcentral